RNAcentral lists this non-coding RNA (97 nucleotides) under chicken gut metagenome. Its description in RNAcentral is "THF riboswitch". It matches the Rfam family "THF (Tetrahydrofolate) riboswitch aptamer". From Rfam's summary of the family: THF riboswitch presents a pseudoknot that joins P1-P2 and the loop of P3 and two THF binding. The record is from RNAcentral.
GCAGAGUAGGAAUUUGUGCGUUAAGUGAUGAUAAGACGGGGAGUUGCUUAUUAUACGAAAAGAAUUUUCUUGCGAUACAUUUUCCGCAUCCCGCUGC